GUUCUGUGAUGAUCAACCCCAUGCGUGUCAUCUGAGCCCCCAAACCCCGUUUCCCUCCCAGCCGGCGUUCUGCCGUGCUGGAGAAAGGCUGCUGGGUGCCAGGCACAGUGAUCACAACUGAGAAGUCGCCUGAGAAC
Molecule: small nucleolar RNA, 137 nt
Organism: Sphaerodactylus townsendi
Lineage: Eukaryota; Metazoa; Chordata; Lepidosauria; Squamata; Sphaerodactylidae
Product: small nucleolar RNA SNORD10
Exons: 1
Source: RefSeq, a predicted model, not a curated record